GAUGAACGCUGGCGGCGUGCCUAAUACAUGCAAGUCGAGCGAACGGACGAGAAGCUUGCUUCUCUGAUGUUAGCGGCGGACGGGUGAGUAACACGUGGAUAACCUACCUAUAAGACUGGGAUAACUUCGGGAAACCGGAGCUAAUACCGGAUAAUAUUUUGAACCGCGUGGUUCAAAAGUGAAAGACGGUCUUGCUGUCACUUAUAGAUGGAUCCGCGCUGCAUUAGCUAGUUGGUAAGGUAACGGCUUACCAAGGCAACGAUGCAUAGCCGACCUGAGAGGGUGAUCGGCCACACUGGAACUGAGACACGGUCCAGACUCCUACGGGAGGCAGCAGUAGGGAAUCUUCCGCAAUGGGCGAAAGCCUGACGGAGCAACGCCGCGUGAGUGAUGAAGGUCUUCGGAUCGUAAAACUCUGUUAUUAGGGAAGAACAUAUGUGUAAGUAACUGUGCACAUCUUGACGGUACCUAAUCAGAAAGCCACGGCUAACUACGUGCCAGCAGCCGCGGUAAUACGUAGGUGGCAAGCGUUAUCCGGAAUUAUUGGGCGUAAAGCGCGCGUAGGCGGUUUUUUAAGUCUGAUGUGAAAGCCCACGGCUCAACCGUGGAGGGUCAUUGGAAACUGGAAAACUUGAGUGCAGAAGAGGAAAGUGGAAUUCCAUGUGUAGCGGUGAAAUGCGCAGAGAUAUGGAGGAACACCAGUGGCGAAGGCGACUUUCUGGUCUGUAACUGACGCUGAUGUGCGAAAGCGUGGGGAUCAAACAGGAUUAGAUACCCUGGUAGUCCACGCCGUAAACGAUGAGUGCUAAGUGUUAGGGGGUUUCCGCCCCUUAGUGCUGCAGCUAACGCAUUAAGCACUCCGCCUGGGGAGUACGACCGCAAGGUUGAAACUCAAAGGAAUUGACGGGGACCCGCACAAGCGGUGGAGCAUGUGGUUUAAUUCGAAGCAACGCGAAGGACCUUACCAAAUCUUGACAUCCUUUGACAACUCUAGAGAUAGAGCCUUCCCCUUCGGGGGACAAAGUGACAGGUGGUGCAUGGUUGUCGUCAGCUCGUGUCGUGAGAUGUUGGGUUAAGUCCCGCAACGAGCGCAACCCUUAAGCUUAGUUGCCAUCAUUAAGUUGGGCACUCUAAGUUGACUGCCGGUGACAAACCGGAGGAAGGUGGGGAUGACGUCAAAUCAUCAUGCCCCUUAUGAUUUGGGCUACACACGUGCUACAAUGGACAAUACAAAGGGCAGCGAAACCGCGAGGUCAAGCAAAUCCCAUAAAGUUGUUCUCAGUUCGGAUUGUAGUCUGCAACUCGACUAUAUGAAGCUGGAAUCGCUAGUAAUCGUAGAUCAGCAUGCUACGGUGAAUACGUUCCCGGGUCU
This 1372-nucleotide ribosomal RNA is filed under the name uncultured bacterium. RNAcentral's name for it is "bacterial SSU rRNA". It matches the Rfam family "Bacterial small subunit ribosomal RNA", at positions 28 to 1381 of the family's 1533-position model. The record is from RNAcentral.